This 588-nucleotide ribosomal RNA is filed under the name uncultured Roseateles sp. RNAcentral's name for it is "bacterial SSU rRNA". It matches the Rfam family "Bacterial small subunit ribosomal RNA", at positions 335 to 916 of the family's 1533-position model. Lineage: Bacteria; Pseudomonadati; Pseudomonadota; Betaproteobacteria; Burkholderiales; Sphaerotilaceae. The record is from RNAcentral.
ACUCCUACGGGAGGCAGCAGUGGGGAAUUUUGGACAAUGGGCGCAAGCCUGAUCCAGCCAUGCCGCGUGCGGGAAGAAGGCCUUCGGGUUGUAAACCGCUUUUGUCAGGGAAGAAAAGGUUCUGGUUAAUACCUGGGACUCAUGACGGUACCUGAAGAAUAAGCACCGGCUAACUACGUGCCAGCAGCCGCGGUAAUACGUAGGGUGCAAGCGUUAAUCGGAAUUACUGGGCGUAAAGCGUGCGCAGGCGGUUAUGCAAGACAGAGGUGAAAUCCCCGGGCUCAACCUGGGAACUGCCUUUGUGACUGCAUAGCUAGAGUACGGUAGAGGGGGAUGGAAUUCCGCGUGUAGCAGUGAAAUGCGUAGAUAUGCGGAGGAACACCGAUGGCGAAGGCAAUCCCCUGGACCUGUACUGACGCUCAUGCACGAAAGCGUGGGGAGCAAACAGGAUUAGAUACCCUGGUAGUCCACGCCCUAAACGAUGUCAACUGGUUGUUGGGAGGGUUUCUUCUCAGUAACGUAGCUAACGCGUGAAGUUGACCGCCUGGGGAGUACGGCCGCAAGGUUGAAACUUAAAGGAAUUGACGG